UACGAAGGGGGCUAGCGUUGCUCGGAAUUACUGGGCGUAAAGCGCACGUAGGCGGUCUUUUAAGUCGGUGGUGAAAUCCUGGAGCUCAACUCCAGAACUGCCUUCGAUACUGGAAGACUUGAGUCCGGGAGAGGUGAGUGGAACUGCGAGUGUAGAGGUGAAAUUCGUAGAUAUUCGCAAGAACACCAGUGGCGAAGGCGGCUCACUGGCCCGGUACUGACGCUGAGGCGCGAAAGGGUGGGGAGCAAACAGG
This 253-nucleotide ribosomal RNA is filed under the name uncultured bacterium. Its description in RNAcentral is "partial 16S ribosomal RNA". It matches the Rfam family "Bacterial small subunit ribosomal RNA", at positions 524 to 776 of the family's 1533-position model. The record is from RNAcentral.